UCGGACAUGGUGUACGGUACACCGCCUCCUUCGCUUGUUGUGAGCCAGCUUGUGGCUAUGGAAUGCGCCGAGGCAGAUCGGGGUUCGACUCCCCGUGUCCGAA
This is a non-coding RNA of Mycena latifolia, 103 nucleotides long. Lineage: Eukaryota; Fungi; Basidiomycota; Agaricomycetes; Agaricales; Mycenaceae. The record is from the annotation of a GenBank genome assembly.